CAGCAUCUUUGUGAUGCAGCCCUGGAACCUCAGCCGCUAAAUUCUUCCAUUUCCAGAAUUCUCACAAGCGUCACGGAUUUAGGUUUUCAGGACACCAUAAAUCACGCUAAAUAGCCUGAGCUUGUGGGAAUCCUGCUUCUUUAGUUCGGAGUCUGACAAGGAAACUCAUGAGAUCAGAUGCUAUUCCAGGAGAUUUGGAGACAAGUGCUGAAACUGCUCCAUCCCAGUCCAGCCCCAGUGCCUUUGACUGUGUCCUUCUGCUGACUGAGGAUGGUGCUGAAGACUUUAAUACUGAACUCUUGCUUUUUAAUGAACAGUCAGCCCCAAAUUACCUGGUAUCUUCUCUUCAAUAUAUCCCGUUCUACAGGACGUCUGAAGUCUUCAUCAGCCCUCACUCCCUCAUUGCAUCGCACAUCAGCACAGAUGCAGAAGAAAGCUCUGAUGGUCACCAAGUUAACACUAAGCAAGAUGAGAACUUGGAUGUCUCAGCUCUCUCCACAGGAUAUUUUCCAUAUUACAGGUCAUAUGAAGAGCCCCUUGGCAAGCCACUUGCAUAUAACUUAAAUGUGACUGCAGAGGGAAAACAGCCUGGCACCAGCAGGAAAGACAGACGGCAAGGCGGAUGUGCCYGGGCUGUUUGCAACGUUGAGAAAACCAUUCCACCAAGUUKGGAGCCAGACAAAAGGGCAGUUUCCUCCAGCGCUGAGCCACCUGCCCACCCGCUGUUACUGGAGAGCAUCUCCGAAAACUGCGCUUCGAAGACCCCAUUCCUCAGUGAACUGCCAAGCCUGGGUCAGCMCUUCUCUUCCUCUGGGUACUUUCCUUAUUACAGGACACGUGGAGACCUCUGCAUCAGCCCAGCUCCUUGUGAUAGGUUCUUCACCAGGAUAGAAAUUUUGGGGGAUGAAGAAGGAGGAGGAGAAGGAGAAACAAAUGUUUGGAAUUUGAGUGCCAGCUGCUCAGCGUGCUGA
This 971-nucleotide long non-coding RNA is filed under the name Dromaius novaehollandiae (emu). Its description in RNAcentral is "lncRNA (ENSDNVG00000009739.1)". The record is from RNAcentral. Lineage: Eukaryota; Metazoa; Chordata; Aves; Casuariiformes; Dromaiidae.